GAGUUUGAUCAUGGCUCAGAUUGAACGCUGGCGGCAUGCCUUACACAUGCAAGUCGAACGGCAGCACGGGAGCUUGCUCCUGGUGGCGAGUGGCGAACGGGUGAGUAAUGCCUAGGAAUCUGCCUGGUAGUGGGGGACAACGUUUCGAAAGGAACGCUAAUACCGCAUACGUCCUACGGGAGAAAGCAGGGGACCUUCGGGCCUUGCGCUAUCAGAUGAGCCUAGGUCGGAUUAGCUAGUUGGUGGGGUAAUGGCUCACCAAGGCGACGAUCCGUAACUGGUCUGAGAGGAUGAUCAGUCACACUGGAACUGAGACACGGUCCAGACUCCUACGGGAGGCAGCAGUGGGGAAUAUUGGACAAUGGGCGAAAGCCUGAUCCAGCCAUGCCGCGUGUGUGAAGAAGGUCUUCGGAUUGUAAAGCACUUUAAGUU
RNAcentral lists this ribosomal RNA (432 nucleotides) under bacterium enrichment culture clone ALO1_GLFRUDD03G3Y8N. RNAcentral describes it as "bacterial SSU rRNA". It matches the Rfam family "Bacterial small subunit ribosomal RNA", at positions 9 to 441 of the family's 1533-position model. The record is from RNAcentral.